This is an RNA transcript of Onychomys torridus (southern grasshopper mouse), 2295 nucleotides long. RefSeq lists it as uncharacterized. The record is from RefSeq and is a predicted model, not a curated record. NCBI's taxonomy places the organism in Eukaryota, Metazoa, Chordata, Mammalia, Rodentia, Cricetidae. The transcript is spliced from 5 exons.
GCGCUAGGCUUCCAUCGCCUGCGGGAGCUCCAAAGGUUCACUCACCCAAGCGGGUUAACCGCGGCCCAGGACUCGAAGAACGUCCCGCUGAGCGCGCGAGUGCUCUCAAGUAGGGGGUGGCUGUAGAGGCCAUCGAUCACCUUUUCCUGUCCCCUCCCUCCUCUGAAGCACGGCGGACAGCGGGUUGGGGAUGGCUUCAGGCUGACGCUCAACUUUUAUGGACCCAGACAGACACCCACUGAGACAAGCAGGGGUACGGAGGUCGGGAUCCAGGUUGGACGUUAAACUCGCUUGGGCAGACCGAAGCUGCUGCGGCUCCCCAGCGCCUUGAUGUGAGCCUGGGAUCCAGCCUCAGAAGCAUGGAGACAAGCUCUGAGAUCUGAACUCCGUCCUCAUCAGCCGGCUUUCUUGGGACGCCGAGGCCCUCACCCGAGGUGGCCUGAGAGCGGAAGAACUUUCCGCACUCCCAUCCCCUCCAGCCCCCCGCGCAGGCCCGGGCGCGUGUGGCGCGUUAGCCCCUUCCCUUCCUGGGAGCAGCGCAUCCUCAGCCCCGAUGGCGCCCAGCGGCCGUCCCACUCACCUCACUGGCCGAGCUAAGCUAGGCUGAAACACACUGGUGCCGCAGGGAAUGGGGGCUUCGGCCACCCCGCCGCGAAGAUUUGUCCCUUGUCGGGAGUCUCAGUGGGGAAGGUCCUCGGAGCUGCAGGAGCCCAGCGUCCCCCCCAGCUUCGCUCCCGGGCGUGCAGACCGCGGGCAGUGCUCCAAAGACAUUGGCCUUGAUGUCACCCAAGGAAAGGCAAGGAGACCCUCAAGAGGACCUGGUUCCAGCCUCUCGCUGCAGGAGAGAUGCCACUGCCCUCUGAGAGGCCACUCAGCCAUCUCCAGGUCCUCAUUUUGCAGCUGGGCACAUCAGGGGACAGCUGCUCUUGUUGGCAAUCCAAGCCACAUCUGGCAGAUGUGUCAGCAGGAUGCAGAAGGAAUGUAUCUGCAGCCCAAGUUCACUUCCAGAUCUGGAUGAACACCAGCACCUGCCAUAUAGGUUUAUUGGAGAUGUAUGAGGCUCAGAACAAUGCCUGCCAGCACACAGGGACACCGCAGACCAGCACGCUGGCAAGGUUAUCUGCUGGCUUCAGCUGUGGAGUUCACUGUGUGCCAGCAGCUUGGAUGCUUCAGAGACUUACCAGCCCAGGAGGGGUCGAGGAGGCCCCCCAGAGCAGCUUCCGGUCCAUCUUUCGGCCAGCGGAGGCCUGGCUUUCAGCGCUGUCCAAGGGUGAAAUUGUGUUACAUUCUGCCUGGUAAUGAGGUGUUGCAGGUCUUGGCCCCCAGCCAGCAGAAGCAGCUUUGGCCAACAGCCCUGGCCCAGCCACCAUCCAGCCAAGGACCGGACUGGCUAGAAGAGCUAGGGAGGAGGGUGAGUGGAGUAUUUGAGACAGGGACAGGGAAGUUCAGGGGCAGAGGGUCAACACCAGGAAAUGAAGCGAGGGGAUCUUUCUGAGAACCACAGAGUGCUGAACACCUCAUACCCAGCACCUUGUACCCAGUACUUUGUCCUCAGUACCUCAUAUCCAGCAUCUUGUACCCAGAACUUUGUACUCAGUACUUCAUAUCCAGCACCUUGUACCCAGCCCUUCACAGCUGGUACCUGGCAACUUGCUCAGUCGUGCCACCUUCUUCACACAACAGGUCUCUGGUACCCCAGGGCUGCUACAGUAAAUGGGCAGGAGCAGGAGACACUGUCACCUUCUGUGGUGCUGGUCCUAAGCCUGGGUGUUGACAGGUCACACCGUUUUGAGCCCCUGGGGUGGGUCUAUUCCACACUUCUUCUCCUUCAGUGCCCCAGCUGGUACAGUCCCCGGGCUGCCACUCCAAUUUCUGUCUCCAUCUCCAUACAGUGCUCUCUACAUGUCUGUGUUUGAGACCAAAUUUCCCUCCUCCUAGGGCGCUAGAUUAAGACCACACUAAUCCUGUAUGACAUCAUCUUAACCCCAUUUUCACAUCUAGUCCCAUUCCCAGUAUUAGAGAUUUAGGACACUUAAAAUUCAACCCACAACCAAGAACUGUUUAAUACUGACUGACAGGACACUGCUGUCCACCCUACACUCUGCUAGGAGCUUCUGUGACAGGUAGUGUUACAUACCCAUCUUAUUGAUGAGAAAAUUGAGGCUCAGAGCACACACACACACACACACACACACACACACACACACACACACACUAUGGCUACAGCUGGGAGUAAGGAGCAGAGCAGUGGUGGAGCCGGGCGGUGGUGGGGCAUGCCUUUAAUCCCAGCACUCG